This 429-nucleotide ribosomal RNA is filed under the name Verrucomicrobiota bacterium. RNAcentral describes it as "Verrucomicrobia bacterium partial 16S ribosomal RNA". It matches the Rfam family "Bacterial small subunit ribosomal RNA", at positions 355 to 776 of the family's 1533-position model. Lineage: Bacteria; Pseudomonadati; Verrucomicrobiota. The record is from RNAcentral.
UAGGGAAUCUUCCGCAAUGGACGAAAGUCUGACGGAGCAACGCCGCGUGAGUGAAGAAGGAUUUCGGUUCGUAAAACUCUGUUGUUAGGGAAGAAAAAAUGUAUAGUAACUAUAUACAAAAGAGACGGUACCUAACCAGAAAGCCACGGCUAACUACGUGCCAGCAGCCGCGGUAAUACGUAGGUGGCAAGCGUUGUCCGGAAUUAUUGGGCGUAAAGCGCGCGCAGGUGGUUUAGAAAGUCUGAUGUGAAAGCCCACGGCUCAACCGUGGAGGGUCAUUGGAAACUAAUAAACUUGAGUGCAGGAGAGAAAAGUGGAAUUCCUAGUGUAGCGGUGAGAUGCGUAGAGAUUAGGAGGAACACCGGUGGCGAAAGCGGCUUUUUGGCCUGCAACUGACACUGAGGCGCGAAAGCGUGGGGAGCAAACAGG